Molecule: ribosomal RNA, 433 nt
Filed under: uncultured bacterium
Lineage: Bacteria
Description: partial 16S ribosomal RNA
Rfam family: Bacterial small subunit ribosomal RNA
Source: RNAcentral
AGCGAACGCUGGCGGCAGGCCUAACACAUGCAAGUCGAACGAACUCUUCGGAGUUAGUGGCGGACGGGUGAGUAACACGUGGGAACGUGCCUUUUGGCUCGGAAUAACUCAGGGAAACUUGUGCUAAUACCGAAUGUGCCCUUCGGGGGAAAGAUUUAUCGCCAUUAGAGCGGCCCGCGUCUGAUUAGCUAGUUGGUGAGGUAACGGCUCACCAAGGCGACGAUCAGUAGCUGGUCUGAGAGGAUGACCAGCCACACUGGGACUGAGACACGGCCCAGACUCCUACGGGAGGCAGCAGUGGGGAAUCUUGCGCAAAGGGAGAAAGCCUGACGCAGCCAGGCCGCGUGAAUGAUGAAGGUCUUAGGAUAGUAAAAUUCUUUCACCGGGGACGAUAAUGACGGUACCCGGAGAAGAAGCCCCGGCUAACUACGUG